This 301-nucleotide ribosomal RNA is filed under the name uncultured bacterium. RNAcentral describes it as "partial 16S ribosomal RNA". It matches the Rfam family "Bacterial small subunit ribosomal RNA", at positions 509 to 807 of the family's 1533-position model. The record is from RNAcentral.
CAGUAGCCGCGGUAAUACGUAGGUGGCAAGCGUUGUCCGGAAUUAUUGGGCGUAUAGGGCUCGCAGGCGGUUUCUUAGGUCUGAUGUGAAAGCCCCCGGCUCAACCGGGGAGGGUCAUUGGAAACUGGGAAACUUGAGUGCAGAAGAGGAGAGUGGAAUUCCACGUGUAGCGGUGAAAUGCGUAGAGAUGUGGAGGAACACCAGUGGCGAAGGCGACUCUCUGGUCUGUAACUGACGCUGAGGAGCGAAAGCGUAGGGGGCGAACAGGAUUAGAUACCCCCGUAGUCCCUGUCUCUUAUAC